UAGAAGAACCCCUGAUGCCGUCGAGCCAAGAAAAGUUUCUAAGUUUAGCUAAUGUUGCCCGUACCGUAAACCGACACAGGUGGGUGGGAUGAGUAUUCUAAGGCGCGUGGAAGAACUCUCUUUAAGGAACUCUGCAAAAUAGCACCGUAUCUUCGGUAUAAGGUGUGGUUCGCUUCGUAUUAGGAUUUACUCCGAAAGCGAAGAAACUUACAACAAAGAGUCCCUCCCGACUGUUUACCAAAAACACAGCACUCUGCUAACUCGUAAGAGGAUGUAUAGGGUGUGACGCCUGCCCGGUGCUCGAAGGUUAAUUGAUGGGGUUAGCAUUAGCGAAGCUCUUGAUCGAAGCCCGAGUAAACGGCGGCCGUAACUAUAACGGUCCUAAGGUAGCGAAAUUCCUUGUCGGUUAAAUACCGACCUGCAUGAAUGGCGUAACGAGAUGGGAGCUGUCUCAAAGAGGGAUCCAGUGAAAUUGUAGUGGAGGUGAAAAUUCCUCCUACCCGCGGCAAGACGGAAAGACCCCGUGGACCUUUACUACAGCUUGACACUGCUAUUUGGAUAAGAAUGUGCAGGAUAGGUGGGAGGCUUUGAGUAUAUGACGCCAGUUGUAUAUGAGCCAUUGUUGAGAUACCACUCUUUCUUAUUUGGGUAGCUAACCAGCUUGAGUUAUCCUCAAGUGGGACAAUGUCUGGUGGGUAGUUUGACUGGGGCGGUCGCCUCCCAAAUAAUAACGGAGGCUUACAAAGGUUGGCUCAGAACGGUUGGAAAUCGUUCGUAGAGUAUAAAGGUAUAAGCCAGCUUAACUGCAAGACAUACAAGUCAAGCAGAGACGAAAGUCGGUCUUAGUGAUCCGGUGGUUCUGUGUGGAAGGGCCAUCGCUCAAAGGAUAAAAGGUACCCCGGGGAUAACAGGCUGAUCUCCCCCAAGAGCUCACAUCGACGGGGAGGUUUGGCACCUCGAUGUCGGCUCAUCGCAUCCUGGGGCUGGAGCAGGUCCCAAGGGUAUGGCUGUUCGCCAUUUAAAGCGGUACGCGAGCUGGGUUCAGAACGUCGUGAGACAGUUCGGUCCCUAUCUGCCGUGGGCGUAAGAAGAUUGAAGAGAUUUGACCCUAGUACGAGAGGACCGGGUUGAACAAACCACUGGUGUAGCUGUUGUUCUGCCAAGAGCAUCGCAGCGUAGCUAAGUUUGGAAAGGAUAAACGCUGAAAGCAUCUAAGCGUGAAGCCAACUCUAAGAUGAAUCUUCUCUAAGCUCUCUAGAAGACUACUAGUUUGAUAGGCUGGGUGUGUAAUGGAUGAAAGUCCUUUAGCUGACCAGUACUAAUAGAGCGUUUGGCUUAUCUUUAAUAAAGCAU
This 1353-nucleotide ribosomal RNA is filed under the name Campylobacter coli. RNAcentral describes it as "partial 23S ribosomal RNA". It matches the Rfam family "Bacterial large subunit ribosomal RNA", at positions 1583 to 2925 of the family's 2925-position model. The record is from RNAcentral. Lineage: Bacteria; Pseudomonadati; Campylobacterota; Epsilonproteobacteria; Campylobacterales; Campylobacteraceae.